CAGCAGCCGCGGGAAUACGAAGGGGGCUAGCGUUGUUCGGAAUCACUGGGCGUAAAGCGCACGUAGGCGGACACUUAAGUCAGAGGUGAAAUCCCAAGGCUCAACCUUGGAACUGCCUUUGAUACUGGGUAUCUUGAGUAUGGAAGAGGUUAGUGGAAUUGCGAGUGUAGAGGUGAAAUUCGUAGAUAUUCGCAGGAACACCAGUGGCGAAGGCGGCUAACUGGUCCAUAACUGACGCUGAGGUGCGAAAGCGUGGGGAGCAAACAGGAUUAGAUACCCGCGUAGUCCCUGUCUCUUAUAC
RNAcentral lists this ribosomal RNA (301 nucleotides) under uncultured bacterium. Its description in RNAcentral is "partial 16S ribosomal RNA". It matches the Rfam family "Bacterial small subunit ribosomal RNA", at positions 509 to 807 of the family's 1533-position model. The record is from RNAcentral.